ACGGGUGCGUAACGCGUAUACAAUCUGCCUUUCACUGGGGGAUAGCCCGAAGAAAUUUGGAUUAAUACCCCAUAGUAUAGUAAUACGGCAUCGUGAUACUAUUAAAGCCUUGGUGGUGAAAGAUGAGUAUGCGUUCUAUUAGCUAGUUGGAGAGGUAACGGCUCCCCAAGGCGACGAUAGAUAGGGGUUCUGAGAGGGAUGUCCCCCACACUGGUACUGAGAUACGGACCAGACUCCUACGGGAGGCAGCAGUGAGGAAUAUUGGACAAUGGUCGGAAGACUGAUCCAGCCAUGCCGCGUGCAGGAUGACGGCCUUAUGGGUUGUAAACUGCUUUUGUAAGGGAAGAAUAAGGAGUACGAGUACUUUGAUGACGGUACCUUAUGAAUAAGCAUCGGCUAACUCCGUGCCAGCAGCCGCGGUAAUACGGAGGAUGCGAGCGUUAUCCGGAAUCAUUGGGUUUAAAGGGUCUGUAGGCGGGCUGGUAAGUCAGAGGUGAAAGCGCUUAGCUCAACUAAGCAACUGCCUUUGAAACUGUUGGUCUUGAAUGGUUGUGAAGUAGUUGGAAUGUGUAGUGUAGCGGUGAAAUGCUUAGAUAUUACCCAGAACCC
RNAcentral lists this ribosomal RNA (609 nucleotides) under uncultured bacterium. RNAcentral's name for it is "bacterial SSU rRNA". It matches the Rfam family "Bacterial small subunit ribosomal RNA", at positions 102 to 709 of the family's 1533-position model. The record is from RNAcentral.